This 497-nucleotide ribosomal RNA is filed under the name uncultured bacterium. Its description in RNAcentral is "partial 16S ribosomal RNA". It matches the Rfam family "Bacterial small subunit ribosomal RNA", at positions 28 to 507 of the family's 1533-position model. The record is from RNAcentral.
GAUGAACGCUGGCGGCGUGCCUAAUACAUGCAAGUCGAGCGAACGGACGAGAAGCUUGCUUCUCUGAUGUUAGCGGCGGACGGGUGAGUAACACGUGGAUAACCUACCUAUAAGACUGGGAUAACUUCGGGAAACCGGAGCUAAUACCGGAUAAUAUUUUGAACCGCAUGGUUCAAAAGUGAAAGACGGUCUUGCUGUCACUUAUAGAUGGAUCCGCGCUGCAUUAGCUAGUUGGUAAGGUAACGGCUUACCAAGGCAACGAUGCGUAGCCGACCUGAGAGGGUGAUCGGCCACACUGGAACUGAGACACGGUCCAGACUCCUACGGGAGGCAGCAGUAGGGAAUCUUCCGCAAUGGGCGAAAGCCUGACGGAGCAACGCCGCGUGAGUGAUGAAGGUCUUCGGAUCGUAAAACUCUGUUUUUAGGGAAGAACAUAUGUGUAAGUAACUGUGCACAUCUUGACGGUACCUAAUCAGAAAGCCACGGCUAACUACGUG